Molecule: long non-coding RNA, 2731 nt
Organism: Tympanuchus pallidicinctus (lesser prairie-chicken)
Lineage: Eukaryota; Metazoa; Chordata; Aves; Galliformes; Phasianidae
Exons: 9
Source: RefSeq, a predicted model, not a curated record
AUGGCAAAGGCAUCCUGAAGCCUUCGUGCUCCCUGGGAACACACAAGCGCAGCUGCUCUCUGUCACCAUCAGUUCUGGGAUUGCUGCUCCCUCCCAUUUUUCCCGUGGUGGAUUCUGGUCUGACCAGGAACUGGAGAUCUUGUUCUGGUUAUUGGUUGCUAAGUGUUCUGAGGAGGGCUCCUUGCUGCAGGAUGGUCCUUGCUGCUCAGUGUGCAGGUGCUUGUAGAACCACAGGCUGUGAGCCUGGUAUUAGCAAGCAUGUGGAACCUUUGUGUCAUGUCCAGGGGAGAGCUGAGUCCCAUUGAAGGCUGGGGACAGAUGUCAUUCAGAGGGAUUUCCUGAUGGGGUAUUUCAGGAGCCCUGCCACUGAGCCCUAGGGCCUGCGCUGGGAUGGAAGGCUGAGGAUGGGUUCGUUUAAAAGGCAGAAGCCCUGCAGCUGAGACACCCAAGACCUGCUCAUUGCCUGGGCCUUGCUGCAGCAGGUAGCAGGCAGCCAGCUGUGUGAGCCUACGGCACGUGGCUCAGCACAACCUGUGCUCCAGAGGACGUCCAGGAGAGAUUAGCAGACAGCAAAAUUCACUGGUUUCAGUCUGUGGUGUGAUGGAAGGCAGAUCCUGUCAGAAACAUCUCUAUGUCAUCUGGUUGGUCACGACACCUACAGGUUCUCAGGUGGAGGUUCUCGUGUGGCCCCAGGGCUCUGUCACCACGGCUGGGAAAUGAGCGCGCAGUGAUUGACGCUUCCUGCCUGCAAACAUGGCUGCAAUAGUCAGAACCCAAGAUUUAAGGUCAGGCGGGAUGAAUCAUUUUCGGAGCCUGGCAGGCCUCCAAGUCACCCCCAUCCUGGAUAUUACCCUUCAUAAAGAGCACUGCGAGCCCAGAUGAUUCAUGCAAGCUGGAAAGCUUUUACCAAUAGUUUCCAAAUACGGAAAGAUGUGCCUGCAGUGUGGCAUAUUUUAGAACAGCAUCCACUCUGGAUUUAAGGGUUUCAGAUGGUGGACAAUCCAUCACAGUCUGCGACCGCCGUGGCUGAGUGCUCGGUGUUUGCUUUGAAGUGCCCCAUGCAUCUGCAGUCUCUGCUCCUCACUUCUUCCUGACGCCCUCCACGGUGACGUCUGUCAGGGAUGGAGUUUGCAAUGUAAUAACCUCAUUCUGCUGCAAAUCCUGAGGCUUCACGACUCAUCUGUCUGCCAGGCAAAGCGUUUCCUGACCUUUUUAAGAAAGCUGGAGACAGCGAAGCAGCCGGACUGGAGGGUGCCCCAUCUGCCUGGAACCAAAACAGCGUCGCUGAGACUCCUGGAGGGGAGGAAACUUGCAGCUCGGAGCCAGCAGUGCGGGCUGAGAGCUUGCAUGACCUCCCCUUCCCCCAGAGAGGGAAGAUUGGACUGGCUGCUAUUGUAUUUGGGCGUGUAAGUGAUGAUUUUCUCUUUCAAAAUCUCAUCAGCUGAUAAAGGCAAAUCCCAAAGAAGCUGAUGCUUGCAGGGGUGGGCUGGAUAUCCAGGGCUACUUUCUCUGAUAGUGUUGGAUAUGAGCAGUGUGUACCCCAUGUUUUGCACAAAGGAUGUUGGAGGUGUGAUGGCGGAAGGCAUUGCUUCCAUCAGUGUUUUCUGUGGCAAGUUUGAGAAUGGAAACCUAAAACCUGCAGCUUAGCUGGUGCUGUCGCAGAUGUCUUAGGUCACAGAUGUCCCAUUGGAGCAUGGCUGUCUCUUGUUAGUGAAAGCUGUCCUUGUUUCAGCUGGAAUAGAGUGGAUUGUCGCCUAACAGCUGGGAUGGUGCUCAGUUUUGGAUUUAGGAUGAUCCUCCUGGUCCAACUUGAGAUAUUCUGUGAUUCAGAAUGUGGGUAGCACACCAGUGGUUUUGUUGGUGCAGAGCAGUGCUGCAUGGAGCCAAGGACAUCUCAGCUUUUCCUGUUGCUCUGCCAGUGAGGGGAUAAAGAGCUGAGAGGGGACAGCACCAGGAUGGCAGACCAAAAGGACAUCCCAUACCUUAUGGCAUCAUGCUGAGCCUGGUGAGCAUCACAUUGUGCAUCACUUGUUCAGUAUAUUCUUUUAUUAUUAUCACUUGUUCAGUAUAUUUUAUUUAUUAUAUUUUAUCAUUAUCAUCUUCCCUUCCUUUUCUGUUCUAUUAAACUGUCUUUGUCUCAACCUAUGAGUUUUACCCUUUUCCCAGUUCUCUCCCAUCCCUGUAGGAAUGAGCAAACUGCUGUAUGGUGCUGAGCAGCCCACCAAGUACAAGCCACAGAGGUGGUAUGGGACACAUAGACACACACCCAAGCUGGCAGGGCCUUUGCUUCCACAAUCUCCUUUCCAUUGCAUGCCAUUCACUGUGUGGCUACAGCAGGAAGCACGUGGUACAUUUUGAGUUGCCCAAAGAGAUGUCAGUGCCCUACCCCUGCAGACAGCCAAAGUCAGGGGAUGGGCUGUGAGCACUGAUGGAGCUGUGGGUGUCCCUGCUCAGUGCAGAGCAGUGGGACCGGAUGACCUUUCAGGUCCCUUCCAACUCCAACAAUUCUAUGAUUCUAUGAUUCCAAACCCAAAGGUGAAGCAGAAGGGUUGGCUAACCCGCUCCAGUCCUCGCCUGUCUGGUGCCAUGGAGAAAGGCAUGAUUAAUUUGUUUAAAGCUUCACCAAGGAGAUGUGUGCUCUUCCUAUGCUGUGAAACCAGAGCCAGAGCCUUGGUCUGUAAUUCUUUUAAGGAGAAAUGACGUUUUUGGUCUUGAUUAAAGCAUUCGUUUA